This is a non-coding RNA of Ixodes scapularis (black-legged tick), 73 nucleotides long. NCBI's taxonomy places the organism in Eukaryota, Metazoa, Arthropoda, Arachnida, Ixodida, Ixodidae. The record is from Rfam.
UCCUGAUUAGCUUAGUUGGUAGAGCGCUCCACUAGAAAUGGAGAGUUCCCUGGUUCGAUACCGGAACCAGGCG